GUACACGCUGUGACUAGCAUAUCAAUAAGCGGAGGAAAAGAAACUAACAAGGAUUCCCUCAGUAACGGCGAGUGAAGCGGGAAGAGCUCAAAUUUGAAAUCUUGAAAGGUCACCUUUCACGAAUUGUAGUUUAAAGAAGUGUUUUCUGUUACGAUCGUAAUAUAAGUUCUUUGAAAUAGGACAUCACAGAGGGUGAGAAUCCCGUCUAUGAUUGCGAUUUGUAGCUUUGUGAUACACUUUCAAAGAGUCGGGUUGUUUGGGAAUGCAGCCCAAAACGGGAGGUAAAUUUCUUCUAAGGCUAAAUAUUGGCGAGAGACCGAUAGCGAACAAGUACCGUGAGGGAAAGAUGAAAAGAACUUUGAAAAGAGAGUUAAAUAGUACGUGAAAUUGUCAAAAGGGAAGCGUUUAACACCAGUGUUGUUUUCUGAAAAUCAACCUCUGUUAGCUUUAUGCAUGUUUGUUUAGACCUAAUCAGCUAUCUUUCAUGUUCUAUUGUUUGCAGUGGUGCACUUUUCAGUUUACAGGUCAACAUCAGUUUUUUUUUACCGUAAAAAAGUUAAAGAAAGGUAGCUCAUGGCUCCGGUCGUGAGUGUUAUAGUCUUUUUCCUAUGCGGUAGGAGAGACUGAGGUCUGCAGUGUAGGCUAUUUGGCUAGAUACUCAGGUGCUAUGUGAUACCAUUUCAUAAACAACUUGUUGAUUAUGUUUUGUCUAUUGCAUACUCGCUUGUACUAUCAUACCUACGCUUAGGAUGUUGAGUAGCGACAUACGCACA
Molecule: ribosomal RNA, 773 nt
Filed under: uncultured Neocallimastigales
Lineage: Eukaryota; Fungi; Neocallimastigomycota; Neocallimastigomycetes; Neocallimastigales
Description: partial large subunit ribosomal RNA
Rfam family: Eukaryotic large subunit ribosomal RNA (bases 4-662)
Source: RNAcentral